RNAcentral lists this unclassified non-coding RNA (428 nucleotides) under Daphnia pulicaria. Its description in RNAcentral is "uncharacterized LOC124312488, transcript variant X3". The record is from RNAcentral. Lineage: Eukaryota; Metazoa; Arthropoda; Branchiopoda; Diplostraca; Daphniidae.
UGUGACGAUCGCGAUUGUUUGAUCGCGCGAUCACGACCGCGGUCACUUUUCCGCGAUCGCGACAGCGAUCGCGAUGAUUUUACAAAAACGCGACCGGGAUCGGGAUCGCAUGAUAAAAAUCUUGCGAUCAAAUUUGCGAUCAAUUAGCGCCAUCUUAUGUUGAUUUUUAAAAACUUACAAAUUAUUAGUGCAACUGCAAAUUACUUAACUGUAAUGACUGACAGUUUGACAGCUAAUAGUAAGAGUAACUGUUUGUUCAAUCGUGCACGAUAGCUUUAAUUUUACUUCAAUCUACUGCAAUGUCGAAUGGAAAUGGAAUUAAAAGGCAUUUCAGAGGUGUGCCUAAAACACCUGCUACCGUGCAAUCUGAUGAAGAAUCAAGUUCAAAUGAUUCGUCCACAGUUAUGGAAAAUGAUUCAUCAACCACU